CCCUUAGAUGUUCUGGGCCGCACGCGUGCUACACUGAGUGGAUCAGCGGGUCAGGUUGCGCGAAAGUGUUUCCUAAUCUUGAAAUCCGCUCGUGAUGGGGAUUGACGGUUGCAAUUUUCCGUCAUGAACGAGGAAUACCUUGUAAGCGCGGGUCAUCAUCCCGCGCUGAAUACGUCCCUGCCCUUUGUACACACCGCCCGUCGCUCCUACCGAUUGAGUGGUCCGGUGAAGCCUCGGGAUUGUGGUUCUUGCCGCUUUAUUGUGGCGUGACCGCGAGAACUUGUCUAAACCUUAUCAUCUAGAGGAAGGUGAAGUCGUAACA
Molecule: ribosomal RNA, 322 nt
Filed under: uncultured eukaryote
Lineage: Eukaryota
Description: partial 18S ribosomal RNA
Rfam family: Eukaryotic small subunit ribosomal RNA
Source: RNAcentral